This is a long non-coding RNA of Zingiber officinale, 68 nucleotides long. RefSeq lists it as uncharacterized. The record is from RefSeq and is a predicted model, not a curated record. NCBI's taxonomy places the organism in Eukaryota, Viridiplantae, Streptophyta, Magnoliopsida, Zingiberales, Zingiberaceae. The transcript is spliced from 2 exons.
GACAAGAGAGCUAUGGUGGAGUGAAUUUAAGCGAUCAUUCACUUGGGACAUGAUUGAUGAGAUGGAAA